Molecule: microRNA precursor, 140 nt
Filed under: Sorex araneus (European shrew)
Lineage: Eukaryota; Metazoa; Chordata; Mammalia; Eulipotyphla; Soricidae
Description: miRNA (ENSSARG00000017302.1)
Source: RNAcentral
ACAUUUGGAUUUUAGAUAAACAGCUAAUAGUUCAUUUAAUAUAACUAUACUCUCCCAUUCCAAGAUUUGGGAUAUACUUAUGCUAAGUUGCUAUUCAUUAUUUGUCUGAAACUAAAAUUUAAGUGAAUAACCUGUAUUUU